UUUAUUAAGAGUUUGAUCCUGGCUCAGGAUGAACGCUGGCGGCGUGCCUAAUACAUGCAAGUCGAGCGAGAUGUUAGCGCAUGAACCUUCGGGGGAUUAUGCUAACGGACAGCGGCGGACGGGUGAGUAACGCGUAGGCAACCUGCCCCUGACAGAGGGAUAGCCAUUGGAAACGAUGAUUAAAACCUCAUGACACCGUAGAAGCACAUGCUUCAUCGGUCAAAGAUUUAUCGGUCAGGGAUGGGCCUGCGUCUGAUUAACUAGUUGGUGAGGUAACGGCUCACCAAGGUGACGAUCAGUAGCCGACCUGAGAGGGUGAUCGGCCACAUUGGAACUGAGACACGGUCCAAACUUCUACGGAAGGCAGCAGUAGGGAAUCUUGCACAAUGGGCGAAAGCCUGAUGCAGCAACGCCGCGUGAAGGAUGAAGGCCUUCGGGUUGUAAACUUCUGUUCUAAGGGAAGAAACAAAUGACGGUACCUUAGGAGCAAGCCCCGGCUAACUACGUGCCAGCAGCCGCGGUAAUACGUAGGGGGCAAGCGUUAUCCGGAAUUAUUGGGCGUAAAGAGUGCGUAGGUGGUUACCUAAGCGCAAGGUUUAAUUUAGAGGCUCAACCUCUACUUGCCUUGCGAACUGGGCUACUUGAGUGCAGGAGGGGAAAGCGGAAUUCCUAGUGUAGCGGUGAAAUGCGUAGAUAUUAGGAGGAACACCAGCGGCGAAGGCGGCUUUCUGGACUGUAACUGACACUGAGGCACGAAAGCGUGGGUAGCAAACAGGAUUAGAUACCCUGGUAGUCCACGCCGUAAACGAUGAGCACUAGGUGUUGGGCCCGUUAGGGCUCAGUGCCGCAGUUAACGCAAUAAGUGCUCCGCCUGGGGAGUACGCUCGCAAGAGUAAAACUCAAAGGAAUUGACGGGGACCCGCACAAGCAGCGGAGCAUGUGGUUUAAUUCGAAGCAACGCGAAGAACCUUACCAGGGCUUGACAUCCUGCUGACAGGACCUUAACCGGUCCCUUCUUCGGACAGCAGAGACAGGUGGUGCAUGGUUGUCGUCAGCUCGUGUCGUGAGAUGUUGGGUUAAGUCCCGCAACGAGCGCAACCCUUGUCGCUAGUUACUAACAUUCAGUUGAGGACUCUAGCGAGACUGCCGAGGUCAACUCGGAGGAAGGUGGGGAUGACGUCAAAUCAUCAUGCCCCUUAUGUUCUGGGCUACACACGUGCUACAAUGGUCGGUACAAUGAGAGGCAAUACUGUGAAGUGGAGCAAAUCACCAAAACCGAUCCCAGUUCGGAUUGUAGGCUGCAACUCGCCUACAUGAAGUUGGAGUUGCUAGUAAUCGCAGAUCAGAAUGCUGCGGUGAAUGCGUUCCCGGGUCUUGUACACACCGCCCGUCACACCAUGGAAGUUGGGGGUGCCCAAAGUCGGUUAAUUAAUCUAUCGCCUAAGGCAAAACCAAUGACUGGGGUGAAGUCGUAACAAGGUAGCCGUUCGAGAACGAGCGGCUGGAUCACCUCCUUUCUA
Molecule: ribosomal RNA, 1520 nt
Filed under: Mogibacterium diversum
Lineage: Bacteria; Bacillati; Bacillota; Clostridia; Peptostreptococcales; Anaerovoracaceae
Description: bacterial SSU rRNA
Rfam family: Bacterial small subunit ribosomal RNA
Source: RNAcentral